AUCAACUUGCCCAUAAAUAUAGACCUUUCAAUACUUCAUUCAGUCUAUAGGAAAUAUUGUACAUAUUCUCCAAUACUAAUAUUUUAAAUAUUAUCUUAAAUAAAAUUAAGAUAUAUCAUACAUUCAAUAAAAUGGCUAUGCCUAAUCACUUUAAAAAGCAUACUGCUUACUUUACAUACACAAAUAAACCAUGCCUUGGACCCUGGAUUGUUAAGAACAAUUUUACUAUAUCCAAAGAAUGCACGAAUGCAAUCUGCCUUCAAAAAAAUUAUUUUUCUGUAUGAUGCUAAAGAA
This is a long non-coding RNA of Gordionus sp. m RMFG-2023, 294 nucleotides long. RefSeq lists it as uncharacterized. NCBI's taxonomy places the organism in Eukaryota, Metazoa, Nematomorpha, Gordioida, Chordodea, Parachordodidae. The record is from RefSeq and is a predicted model, not a curated record. The transcript is spliced from 3 exons.